Molecule: ribosomal RNA, 399 nt
Filed under: Triticum aestivum (bread wheat)
Lineage: Eukaryota; Viridiplantae; Streptophyta; Magnoliopsida; Poales; Poaceae
Description: partial small subunit ribosomal RNA
Source: RNAcentral
AUGGUCUACUGGUUGUCCGUUUUCACCUUCCCUGACUGGGUCCGCCGUGAGAUCGACCGCCUCCGCCGAGCCUGGCUCUGGCACGGCAACGACUCCUGCCACGGUGGGCAUUGCAAGAUUGCAUGGGCCAAAAUAUGCCGGCCAAAGGAGCUCGGGGGCCUGGGGAUUUUGGACAUCAACCGCUUCGGCGCGGCUCUGAGACUACGCUGGCUCUGGCUCCAGCGCGCGCCGGGCGACAAGCCUUGGCAGGGCUUCCCCAUCCCCUGCUCCAUGGACGACCGCAAACUCUUCGCGGCGGCCACUCGGGUGUCCCUCGGCAAUGAGGAGCGCGCCCUCUUCUGGCACGACGCCUGGCUGGAUGGGGCCGCCCCGCUACUGACCGCGCCCAGCCUGUUCGCU